This is a non-coding RNA of Rattus norvegicus (Norway rat), 553 nucleotides long. Lineage: Eukaryota; Metazoa; Chordata; Mammalia; Rodentia; Muridae. The record is from RefSeq and is a predicted model, not a curated record.
GGUUUCUGAUGUAACCUGAGUGUGUCUGUGUUUUCCUGGUGCUGGCAGAGAUGAGGUAGAUAUAAGAACACAUGGGCUCUCACCUGGGCUUCAGAAGCCUUGACAGGCUGCAGGGUUGGAGGCCCAGAGCAGGCCUGUCAUUUCUCAACCAGAGUCCCUUCCUUGCCAUUUUAGAUGUCCUCCAUUACAGAAGAUAAACACCAAAGAUCCUCACCAGAGCUUUCCAAACACCACAGGCACCCAGCUGUGUGAGCAAGAUGCAGCAAAGCCAUGGAAAGGCCCCCAGGAACUCUGUUCUGAUGCUUACUAUACAAACUGCUCAGCAAAUUUUUGGGAUGGAAGUUGCCUGAAAUCAAGUUCCCUCUCCUUCUUCUUGAAUGUUCUUGGAAUACAGCAGUUUGGCCAAUGCCUGUGAGCAGAAGGUAGUUCUGCUUAUCCUACUGCAUCUCCAGAGCCUACAGAGGAGCCAAGAAGAAAGCAGGGCACGUGGAUUUAUAGAGUGUCUCAACUGCACCAUGAUCACAAGCCCUGCAGCGUUUGGACGAUGGCCAGG